RNAcentral lists this ribosomal RNA (447 nucleotides) under Debus defensus. Its description in RNAcentral is "partial 28S ribosomal RNA". The record is from RNAcentral. Lineage: Eukaryota; Metazoa; Arthropoda; Insecta; Coleoptera; Curculionidae.
AAACCGUUUAGGGGUAAACCUGAGAAACCCGAAAGGUCGAAGGGAGAAAUUCAUUCGCGUUUCGUCGUAGGCGUGGGGCGGGGUCGAGCGACGGGACACGUUCUUCGGAACGGGUCUCGCGCCCUCCGUCCUUCGAACCGGCGGCGAACGCGUGCACUUUUCUCCUGGUAGGACGUCGCGAUCCGUCGGGUGUCGGUCUACGACUUGCGGUGGAGCCCGCCCGUCGUCUCGUACGUACGGACGGACCCGCUCGUUCCGGCCGACUCGCUCGACGGUAUACGUACGGUCGGAGGCCGCUCGUUACACAGGGAGCGUUCGACUCGUCGCAAGCGCGCCACGUGCGUCGGCACGCGGACCCGGUGCCGCGUCCGACCUCUGGUGACUGUUGGCGACGAAGUUCUCGGACAGACCUCUUUUUUUUCGAAGACCGAUCGGCGACGCUAUAGC